Molecule: ribosomal RNA, 258 nt
Filed under: Pseudomonas sp. ISO25_OTU581
Lineage: Bacteria; Pseudomonadati; Pseudomonadota; Gammaproteobacteria; Pseudomonadales; Pseudomonadaceae
Description: partial 16S ribosomal RNA
Rfam family: Bacterial small subunit ribosomal RNA
Source: RNAcentral
UUGAACGCUGGCGGCAGGCCUAACACAUGCAAGUCGAGCGGUAGAGAGGAGCUUGCUUCUCUUGAGAGCGGCGGACGGGUGAGUAAUGCCUAGGAAUCUGCCUGGUAGUGGGGGAUAACGUUCGGAAACGGACGCUAAUACCGCAUACGUCCUACGGGAGAAAGCAGGGGACCUUCGGGCCUUGCGCUAUCAGAUGAGCCUAGGUCGGAUUAGCUAGUUGGUGAGGUAAUGGCUCACCAAGGCGACGAUCCGUAACUG